CUUAAUAACACUAACAUCUGCUAU
RNAcentral lists this non-coding RNA (24 nucleotides) under Arabidopsis thaliana (thale cress). Lineage: Eukaryota; Viridiplantae; Streptophyta; Magnoliopsida; Brassicales; Brassicaceae. The record is from RNAcentral.